UGGCUCAGUGGUAGAGUGCUUGCCUUGCAUGCAUGAGGUCCUGGGUUCAAUUCCGCAG
RNAcentral lists this transfer RNA (58 nucleotides) under Dipodomys ordii (Ord's kangaroo rat). It matches the Rfam family "tRNA", at positions 8 to 63 of the family's 71-position model. Rfam says of the family: Transfer RNA (tRNA) molecules are approximately 80 nucleotides in length. Their secondary structure includes four short double-helical elements and three loops (D, anti-codon, and T loops). Further hydrogen bonds mediate the characteristic L-shaped molecular structure. tRNAs have two regions of fundamental functional importance: the anti-codon, which is responsible for specific mRNA codon recognition, and the 3' end, to which the tRNAs corresponding amino acid is attached (by aminoacyl-tRNA synthetases). tRNAs cope with the degeneracy of the genetic code in two manners: having more than one tRNA (with a specific anti-codon) for a particular amino acid; and 'wobble' base-pairing, i.e. permitting non-standard base-pairing at the 3rd anti-codon position. The record is from Rfam by way of RNAcentral. Lineage: Eukaryota; Metazoa; Chordata; Mammalia; Rodentia; Heteromyidae.